UACGUAGGAGGCAAGCGUUGUCCGGAAUUACUGGGCGUAAAGCGCGUGUAGGUGGUGGGACAAGUCUGCUGUGAAAGCGCCUGGCUUAACCGGGCGAGGUCGGCGGAAACUGUCCGACUAGAGGACGGUAGAGGGGGGUGGAAUUCCCGGUGUAGUGGUGAAAUGCGUAGAGAUCGGGAGGAACACCUGUGACGAAGGCGGCCCCCUGGGCCGGCCCUGACACUGAGACGCGAAGGCGUGGGGAGCGAACGGG
This 253-nucleotide ribosomal RNA is filed under the name uncultured bacterium. Its description in RNAcentral is "partial 16S ribosomal RNA". It matches the Rfam family "Bacterial small subunit ribosomal RNA", at positions 524 to 776 of the family's 1533-position model. The record is from RNAcentral.